UUUACGGAGAGUUUGAUCCUGGCUCAGGAUGAACGCUGGCGGCGUGCCUAAUACAUGCAAGUCGAGCGAACGGACGAGAAGCUUGCUUCUCUGAUGUUAGCGGCGGACGGGUGAGUAACACGUGGAUAACCUACCUAUAAGACUGGGAUAACUUCGGGAAACCGGAGCUAAUACCGGAUAAUAUUUUGAACCGCAUGGUUCAAAAGUGAAAGACGGUCUUGCUGUCACUUAUAGAUGGAUCCGCGCUGCAUUAGCUAGUUGGUAAGGUAACGGCUUACCAAGGCAACGAUGCAUAGCCGACCUGAGAGGGUGAUCGGCCACACUGGAACUGAGACACGGUCCAGACUCCUACGGGAGGCAGCAGUAGGGAAUCUUCCGCAAUGGGCGAAAGCCUGACGGAGCAACGCCGCGUGAGUGAUGAAGGUCUUCGGAUCGUAAAACUCUGUUAUUAGGGAAGAACAUAUGUGUAAGUAACUGUGCACAUCUUGACGGUACCUAAUCAGAAAGCCACGGCUAACUACGUGCCAGCAGCCGCGGUAAUACGUAGGUGGCAAGCGUUAUCCGGAAUUAUUGGGCGUAAAGCGCGCGUAGGCGGUUUUUUAAGUCUGAUGUGAAAGCCCACGGCUCAACCGUGGAGGGUCAUUGGAAACUGGAAAACUUGAGUGCAGAAGAGGAAAGUGGAAUUCCAUGUGUAGCGGUGAAAUGCGCAGAGAUAUGGAGGAACACCAGUGGCGAAGGCGACUUUCUGGUCUGUAACUGACGCUGAUGUGCGAAAGCGUGGGGAUCAAACAGGAUUAGAUACCCUGGUAGUCCACGCCGUAAACGAUGAGUGCUAAGUGUUAGGGGGUUUCCGCCCCUUAGUGCUGCAGCUAACGCAUUAAGCACUCCGCCUGGGGAGUACGACCGCAAGGUUGAAACUCAAAGGAAUUGACGGGGACCCGCACAAGCGGUGGAGCAUGUGGUUUAAUUCGAAGCAACGCGAAGAACCUUACCAAAUCUUGACAUCCUUUGACAACUCUAGAGAUAGAGCUCUCCCCUUCGGGGGACAAAGUGACAGGUGGUGCAUGGUUGUCGUCAGCUCGUGUCGUGAGAUGUUGGGUUAAGUCCCGCAACGAGCGCAACCCUUAAGCUUAGUUGCCAUCAUUAAGUUGGGCACUCUAAGUUGACUGCCGGUGACAAACCGGAGGAAGGUGGGGAUGACGUCAAAUCAUCAUGCCCCUUAUGAUUUGGGCUACACACGUGCUACAAUGGACAAUACAAAGGGCAGCGAAACCGCGAGGUCAAGCAAAUCCCAUAAAGUUGUUCUCAGUUCGGAUUGUAGUCUGCAACUCGACUACAUGAAGCUGGAAUCGCUAGUAAUCGUAGAUCAGCAUGCUACGGUGAAUACGUUCCCGGGUCUUGUACACACCGCCCGUCACACCACGAGAGUUUGUAACACCCGAAGCCGGUGGAGUAACCUUUUAGGAGCUAGCCGUCGAAGGUGGGACAAAUGAUUGGGGUGAAGUCGUAACAAGGUAGCCGUAUCGGAAGGUGCGGCUGGAUCACCUCCUUU
This 1552-nucleotide ribosomal RNA is filed under the name Staphylococcus aureus. Its description in RNAcentral is "16S ribosomal RNA". It matches the Rfam family "Bacterial small subunit ribosomal RNA". The record is from RNAcentral. Lineage: Bacteria; Bacillati; Bacillota; Bacilli; Caryophanales; Staphylococcaceae.